GCCCCAUAUGAAUGACCACCCACAGCAAUCUUAUUUGGGUGAGCAACCCCUCUUCGUAUUACUUCCUCUGCUGCAGCCUCUGCACUAGAAACCAACUGCUCUACAUACCUAUCAUUCGCCUCUUCAUCACCCUCGCCAAUUAUAGGGAUCGUUGGUCCAUAUAAAACAGCAAAUCCCCUAGCCAACCAAAGAAGAGGUGAUGUCGGAUAAAUGCCUGCAAACUCAUUAGGAGAGCCGCGGACUUGCCCAGCAGCAUCUUUGCUUUUGAACUCUCCAGGAUAAGACCAGAAAAGACAUGGGAGAGGUCCAUCUUUUGCUGGGCUGUAACCCGGAGGUAAAUAAAGAGUUGCAGUCAGUUGAACACCAUCCUUUCGCUGGUAUAUGAUCAUCUCUUUCUGUAAGGAUGCCAGUUGAGGAUAUGGGUGGGGGAAGUUUGUAAUCU
Molecule: unclassified non-coding RNA, 442 nt
Filed under: Hevea brasiliensis (rubber tree)
Lineage: Eukaryota; Viridiplantae; Streptophyta; Magnoliopsida; Malpighiales; Euphorbiaceae
Source: RNAcentral